GACGAACGCUGGCGGCGUGCUUAACACAUGCGAGUCGAACGAUGAAGAAGAGAAACGCGAACUUCGGUUCAAAUUUCACUUCGGAUUAGUGGCAGACGGGUGAGUAACGCGUGAGCAACCUACCUCUUACAAAGGGAUAGCCUCGGGAAACCGUGAUUAAUACCAUAUGACACAUUCAUAAGGCAUCUUAAGAAUGUUAAAGCUACGGCGGUAAGAGAUGGGCUCGCGUCCCAUUAGCUAGUUGGUGAGGUAACGGCCCACCAAGGCGACGAUGGGUAACCGGCCUGAGAGGGUGAACGGUCACAUUGGAACUGAGACACGGUCCAAACUCCUACGGGAGGCAGCAGUGGGGAAUAUUGCACAAUGGAGGGAACUCUGAUGCAGCGACGCCGCGUGAGCGAUGAAGGAAUUCGUUUCGUAAAGCUCUGUUCUAUGGGAAGAAAAGGACUGUACCAUAGGAGAAAGCCCCGGCUAAAUACGUG
Molecule: ribosomal RNA, 482 nt
Filed under: uncultured bacterium
Lineage: Bacteria
Description: partial 16S ribosomal RNA
Rfam family: Bacterial small subunit ribosomal RNA
Source: RNAcentral